This 484-nucleotide ribosomal RNA is filed under the name uncultured bacterium. Its description in RNAcentral is "partial 16S ribosomal RNA". It matches the Rfam family "Bacterial small subunit ribosomal RNA", at positions 30 to 507 of the family's 1533-position model. The record is from RNAcentral.
AUUGAACGCUGGCGGCAGGCCUAACACAUGCAAGUCGAGCGGAUGAAGGGAGCUUGCUCCUGGAUACAGCGGCGGACGGGUGAGUAAUGCCUAGGAAUCUGCCUGGUAGUGGGGGAUAACGUCCGGAAACGGGCGCUAAUACCACAUACGUCCUGAGGGAGAAAGUGGGGGAUCUUCGGACCUCACGCUAUCAGAUGAGCCUAGGUCGGAUUAGCUAGUUGGUGGGGUAAAGGCCUACCAAGGCGACGAUCCGUAACUGGUCUGAGAGGAUGAUCAGUCACACUGGAACGGAGACACGGUCCAGACUCCUACGGGAGGCAGCAGUGGGGAAUAUUGGACAAUGGGCGAAAGCCUGAUCCAGCCAUGCCGCGUGUGUGAAGAAGGUCUUCGGAUUGUAAAGCACUUUAAGUUGGGAGGAAGGGCAGUAAGUUAAUACCUUGCUGUUUUGACGUUACCAACAGAAUAAGCACCGGCUAACUUCGUG